RNAcentral lists this ribosomal RNA (207 nucleotides) under Odontomachus meinerti. RNAcentral describes it as "partial large subunit ribosomal RNA". The record is from RNAcentral. Lineage: Eukaryota; Metazoa; Arthropoda; Insecta; Hymenoptera; Formicidae.
GAAUUUUAUAAAAUUAUUAAUUUUUUUAUUUUAUAAAUUUUAUUUAAUUGGGAGGAUUUUUAAAUUUAAUAAACUUUAAAAUUUUUAAUUAAAACAUUAAUUUAUGAUAUUUAUAAAAAUUAAUAAAUAUUAUUUAAAUAAAAAUUAAUUACCUUAGGGAUAACAGCAUAAAAUUUUUUUAUAGAUCUUAUAUAUAAGAAUAUUUGU